Molecule: long non-coding RNA, 1103 nt
Filed under: Chrysolophus pictus (golden pheasant)
Lineage: Eukaryota; Metazoa; Chordata; Aves; Galliformes; Phasianidae
Description: lncRNA (ENSCPIG00010008740.1)
Source: RNAcentral
GAAAAAUGACUUUAGGAGACUGGGGAGGUUAGUUGAAGGAGCAGGCAUACAGGUAGUAUUUGCCUGUAUUCCUACAAUGGCAGGGAAGGAUGCUGAGACCACCAGAAGAACACACCUUAUAAACACAUGGCUGAAAGGCUGGUGCAAAAGCAAGAAUUUUGGGUUCUUUGAUCAUGGGGCGGUCUACUCGGCACCUGGCCUGGGGUCUGCUGAUGGGUCUCACCUGUCUCGAAGGGGGAAACGGAUCCUUGCCCAAGAGCUGGCAGGACUGGUAGAGAGGGCUUUAAACUAGAUGUGGAGGGGGUAGGGGAUAAAACCAGGCCUGCUAGAGAUGAGCCUGGGGGAUCGGCGAUGGGAUUAGGGAUGAGGCGAGGGGCUCGGCUGAAGUGCAUCUACACCAAUGCACGCAGCAUGGGCAACAAACAAGAAGAGUUGGAAGCCAUGGUGCGGCAGGCAAGCUAUGACCUAGUUGCCAUCACGGAAACAUGGUGGGACUGCUCCCACGACUGGAGUGCUGCAAUGGAUGGCUACAAGCUCUUCAGGAAGGAUAGGCAAGGAAGAAGGGGUGGUGGUGUGGCUCUGUAUGUUAGAGAAUGCUUUGAUGUUACUGAGCUUGUGGCUGGGGAUGAUAAGGUUGAAUCCCUAUGGGUAAAGAUCAGGGGAAGGGCUGACAAGGCAGACGUAUUGGUGGGCGUCUGCUAUAGACCGCCGAACCAGGAUGAAGAGACAGAUGAGGUGUUCUAUGAGCAGCUGGCAGAAGCUGCGAGAUCGCCAACCCUUGUCCUCAUGGGGGACUUCAACUUCCCUGACAUAUGCUGGGAAUACGGCGCAGCGCAGAAGAAGCAGUCUAGGAGGUUUCUGGAGUGUAUAGAGGAUAACUUUCUGAUGCAGCUGGUGAGAGAGCCUACGAGAGGAGCUGCCCCACUAGACCUGCUGUUCACAAACAGAGAAGGUCUGGUGGAAGAUGUGGUGGUCGGGGGCUGUCUUGGACAGAGUGACCAUGAGAUGGUAGAGUUCUCGAUUCUUGGAGGAGCCAGGAGGAAGAACAGCAAAACUGUUACCUUGGACUUCCGGAGGGCGGACUUGGAGUUGUUUAGAAGACA